GGUGAUGUAGCCAAGCUGGUUAAGGCAGGAGUCUGCAAAACUCCCAUGCGCGGGUUCGAAUCCCGCCAUCACCUCCA
This 77-nucleotide transfer RNA is filed under the name Candidatus Nomurabacteria bacterium. RNAcentral's name for it is "tRNA-Cys". It matches the Rfam family "tRNA". Rfam says of the family: Transfer RNA (tRNA) molecules are approximately 80 nucleotides in length. Their secondary structure includes four short double-helical elements and three loops (D, anti-codon, and T loops). Lineage: Bacteria; Candidatus Nomuraibacteriota. RNAcentral also lists the same sequence under 1 other name. The record is from RNAcentral.